AGAGUUUGAUCAUGGCUCAGGAUGAACGCUAGCUACAGGCUUAACACAUGCAAGUCGGAGGGGAAACGACAUCGAAAGCUUGCUUUUGAUGGGCGUCGACCGGCGUACGGGUGAGUAACGCGUAUCCAACCUGCCCACCACGUUGGGGAUAACCUUGCGAAAGUAAGACUAAUACCCAAUGACGUCUCUAGAAGACAUCUGAAAGAGAUUAAAGAUUUAUCGGUGAUGGAUGGGGAUGCGUCUGAUUAGCUUGUUGGCGGGGUAACGGCCCACCAAGGCGACGAUCAGUAGGGGUUCUGAGAGGAAGGCCCCCCACAUUGGAACUGAGACACGGUCCAAACUCCUACGGGAGGCAGCA
RNAcentral lists this ribosomal RNA (358 nucleotides) under uncultured bacterium. RNAcentral's name for it is "bacterial SSU rRNA". It matches the Rfam family "Bacterial small subunit ribosomal RNA", at positions 8 to 353 of the family's 1533-position model. The record is from RNAcentral.